UACAGAGGUCUCAAGCGUUGUUCGGAUUCAUUGGGCGUAAAGGGUGCGUAGGCGGCGCGGUAAGUCGGGUGUGAAAUUUCGAGGCUUAACUUCGAAACUGCAUUCGAUACUGCCGUGCUUGAGGACUGGAGAGGAGACUGGAAUUUACGGUGUAGCGGUGAAAUGCGUAGAUAUCGUAAGGAAGACCAGUGGCGAAGGCGGGUCUCUGGACAGUUCCUGACACUGAGACACGAAGGCCAGGGGAGCAAACGGG
RNAcentral lists this ribosomal RNA (253 nucleotides) under uncultured bacterium. Its description in RNAcentral is "partial 16S ribosomal RNA". It matches the Rfam family "Bacterial small subunit ribosomal RNA", at positions 524 to 776 of the family's 1533-position model. The record is from RNAcentral.